Molecule: ribosomal RNA, 393 nt
Filed under: uncultured bacterium
Lineage: Bacteria
Description: partial 16S ribosomal RNA
Rfam family: Bacterial small subunit ribosomal RNA
Source: RNAcentral
AUACGGAGGAUCCGAGCGUUAUCCGGAUUUAUUGGGUUUAAAGGGAGCGUAGGCGGACGCUUAAGUCAGUUGUGAAAGUUUGCGGCUCAACCGUAAAAUUGCAGUUGAUACUGGGUGUCUUGAGUACAGUAGAGGUAGGCGGAAUCCGUGGUGUAGCGGUGAAAUGCUUAGAUAUCACGAAGAACUCCGAUUGCGAAGGCAGCCUGCUGGACUGUAACUGACGCUGAUGCUCGAAAGUGUGGGUAUCAAACAGGGUUAGAUACCCUGGUAGUCCACACAGUAAACGAUGAAUACUCGCUGUUUGCGAUAUACAGUAAGCGGCCAAGCGAAAGCGUUAAGUAUUCCACCUGGGGAGUACGCCGGCAACGGUGAAACUCAAAGGAAUUGACGGGG